RNAcentral lists this ribosomal RNA (484 nucleotides) under uncultured bacterium. RNAcentral's name for it is "partial 16S ribosomal RNA". It matches the Rfam family "Bacterial small subunit ribosomal RNA", at positions 30 to 507 of the family's 1533-position model. The record is from RNAcentral.
AUUGAACGCUGGCGGCAGGCCUAACACAUGCAAGUCGAGCGGAUGAAGGGAGCUUGCUCCUGGAUUCAGCGGCGGACGGGUGAGUAAUGCCUAGGAAUCUGCCUGGUAGUGGGGGAUAACGUCCGGAAACGGGCGCUAAUACCGCAUACGUCCUGAGGGAGAAAGUGGGGGAUCUUCGGACCUCACGCUAUCAGAUGAGCCUAGGUCGGAUUAGCUAGUUGGUGGGGUAAAGGCCUACCAAGGCGACGAUCCGUAACUGGUCUGAGAGGAUGAUCAGUCACACUGGAACGGAGACACGGUCCCGCCCCCGCGGGGAGCCGGCAGGGGGGAAUUUUGGACAAAGGGCGAAGCCCUGACCCACCAUGGCGGCGGGUGGAAGGAAGUUGUCUGAUUGUCAAGCUUUUUUAAGUGGGGAGAAAGGAAAGUAAUUAAUUCCCUGUUUUUUUUCACUUGCCCAAAAAAAAAACCCCCGCCCACCUUCUUC